RNAcentral lists this ribosomal RNA (422 nucleotides) under Verrucomicrobiota bacterium. RNAcentral describes it as "Verrucomicrobia bacterium partial 16S ribosomal RNA". It matches the Rfam family "Bacterial small subunit ribosomal RNA", at positions 355 to 776 of the family's 1533-position model. The record is from RNAcentral. Lineage: Bacteria; Pseudomonadati; Verrucomicrobiota.
UGGGGAAUUUUGCACAAUGGGCGCAAGCCUGAUGCAGCGACGCCGCGUGAGGGAUGAAGGCCUUCGGGUUGUAAACCUUUUUCGCUCAUGGUCAAGCCGCAGCUUUGGGUUGUGGUGAGGGUAGUGGGUAAAGAAGCGCCGGCUAACUACGUGCCAGCAGCCGCGGUAAUACGUAGGGCGCGAGCGUUGUCCGGAAUUAUUGGGCGUAAAGGGCUUGUAGGCGGUUGGCCGCGUCUGCCGUGAAAUCCUCUGGCUUAACUGGGGGCGUGCGGUGGGUACGGGUUGACUUGAGUGCGGUAGGGGAGACUGGAAUUCCUGGUGUAGCGGUGAAAUGCUUAGAUAUCAUGACGAACUCCGAUUGCGAAGGCAGCUUACGGGAGCGCAACUGACGCUAAAGCUCGAAGGUGCGGGUAUCGAACAGG